This 206-nucleotide ribosomal RNA is filed under the name uncultured bacterium. RNAcentral's name for it is "partial 16S ribosomal RNA". It matches the Rfam family "Bacterial small subunit ribosomal RNA", at positions 568 to 774 of the family's 1533-position model. The record is from RNAcentral.
UCCGUAGGCGGCUUUUCAAGUUAAAAGUAAAAUCAAAAAGCUUAACUUUUUGAGGCUUUUAAUACGUUAGAGCUUGGAGUUUGAAGGGAGAUAGUAGAAUUUCAUAUGGAGGGGUGAAAUCCGUAGAAUUAUGAAGGAAUACUGAUGGCGAAGGCGACUAUCUAUUUCAAUCUGACGCUGAGGGACGAAAGCAUGGGGAGCAAACA